Molecule: transfer RNA, 74 nt
Filed under: Anaerolineae bacterium
Lineage: Bacteria; Bacillati; Chloroflexota; Anaerolineae
Also listed under: 1 other name
Description: tRNA-Arg
Rfam family: tRNA
About the family: Transfer RNA (tRNA) molecules are approximately 80 nucleotides in length. Their secondary structure includes four short double-helical elements and three loops (D, anti-codon, and T loops).
Source: RNAcentral
GCUCCCGUAGCUCAGUGGACUAGAGCAGGGGUCUUCUAAACCCAAGGUCGCAGGUUCGAAUCCUGCCGGGAGCG